GACACUUUCCCUUGUGGGGCGUGAUAGUGUGUGCCUCGUUGCAGAAGGACCCCUGUAUGCAGAAGUAGAGGCGCUGGCCUCAGGCUCCUCCACUUCCUCUUGGACAGAAGACGCUGAGCAUUUUUUCAGGAAGUGGUCACCCCAGUGGUCCCCGGCUUUCUCAGACUUCCUGCAGCUCUCUACACAGUGAAUCACAGUGAGACACUGGCAGCAGGCACCACGGAAGGGACCCUCAAAUCUGAAGGCUCAAGGUCCUGGGAAAAGAUGAAGUGGAGCAUGCCUCUUGUUUCCUCCUAUUAGAUGCUGAGUGUUGGAAGUUCUUCCUAGGAUUCACAAAGAAACUCCUGCUCUUCUUCCACAUACUUUUUCCUGGGAAAGAAAACUUGUUUCACUGGCAGAAAAGAUCCCCACUGUUAAAGUGAGGUAAAGAAGAUUCUUGCUUCCUCUUUACGCAUCUGCCAUGAUUGUAAGUUUCCUGAGGCUUCCCCAGCCAUGCUGAACUGGUCUUAGAUACAUGACGGCACUGUUGUCUUCCUGAAAACCUCUUCAUCCUGCAGAAGGUGCAACUCCACAGCAUCCUGAGAGGUUGGACAUAAGGCUUGGAAAGAAUGAAUGGUGCCUCUCGGUGAAUUCCUACAACCUGAAUCCUGUGACCCCACCUGUGAUGGCCCAAUGUUAUUGAAAUUACUGACUCCAUCCACUUAGCAAGUGGUAAAUACUCUGCAGGCAUAGAUUUGACUAAUGUGUUCUGUUCAGCGCCUGUUUCAACAGAUCUCAGCUGCAGGUUGCUUUCACCCCUGAAGGGACACAAUAGACCGUUAUCUGGUUACCACGGGGUACCUCGACAGUUCUGCCACCAUAGACAAUCUUUGGAGGCAGGAUUUGAACUGCAUCUGAC
RNAcentral lists this non-coding RNA (898 nucleotides) under Pan troglodytes (chimpanzee). The record is from RNAcentral. Lineage: Eukaryota; Metazoa; Chordata; Mammalia; Primates; Hominidae.